AUGUAUUUGAGCAUAGAAUCUGAUUUAGUGGGAAUUGAUGGUGCUUAUUUCACUUGAACCAAACGAUUAUGUACAUACCUUGCUUCAUAAUGAUAACUUGGAGACACUUCAGUUACUUCGUACUGUGGCUCUUCAUCACACAGUUUUGCAGGUCAGCCGAUGACAUGUCGUUUCAUGUUUGACUCGCCACGGAGCACUUCCUCGAGUGAGUGGCCUAUUGUUUCUUAUCUAUGAUAGAGGAGCUGCUACUGAUGCUCAAGUACUGUUCAAACGAAGGUAAAUAACUCCCAUUCCUAAGACAUUCUUUACUUUACUUUUCCGAAGCAAUUAGUCUUUUUUUGGUUUGAUGGCUCCAAAUAGUUUGUGUUUCGUUUUCUUCCACCGUUUUAUAUUAAUAUGUGGGUUCAGACAGCGGUGUAUUGGUUUGAUGGCUAAAUUUGGAUUUUUUGGUUGUUAUUCCUUCUCAGUUUUGCUGAUUAUGCAGAGCUGCACUACUCUUAGCCCAUAGGGUGUAUUUGUUCUUAUGUAUCUUGCAACUAUGUUAGAAACAACAUCACAAUUGCAUGCAGAGUUGGCUACCAUUCCUUCUUAGGUUUCCUGAAUGAUGUGGAGUAUUUUCCGAUUUGUACUACACAUAAUAUCAUAUAUCCA
Molecule: long non-coding RNA, 651 nt
Organism: Lolium rigidum
Lineage: Eukaryota; Viridiplantae; Streptophyta; Magnoliopsida; Poales; Poaceae
Exons: 3
Source: RefSeq, a predicted model, not a curated record